Molecule: ribosomal RNA, 233 nt
Filed under: uncultured bacterium
Lineage: Bacteria
Description: partial 16S ribosomal RNA
Rfam family: Bacterial small subunit ribosomal RNA
Source: RNAcentral
GAUCCUACGGGACGCAGCAGUGAGGAAUAUUGGUCAAUGGCCGAGAGGCUGAACCAGCCAAGUCGCGUGAGGGAUGACGGCCCUACGGGUUGUAAACCUCUUUUGUCGGGGAGCAAGACCCGCCUCGUGCAGGCGGAGCGAGAGUACCCGAAGCAAAAGCAUCGGCUAACUCCGCGCCAGCAGCCGCGGUAAUACGGAGGAUGUGAGCGUUAUCCGGAUCUAUUGGGUUUAAA